RNAcentral lists this ribosomal RNA (507 nucleotides) under Conus bocki. RNAcentral describes it as "partial 16S ribosomal RNA". It matches the Rfam family "Bacterial large subunit ribosomal RNA", at positions 1831 to 2598 of the family's 2925-position model. Lineage: Eukaryota; Metazoa; Mollusca; Gastropoda; Neogastropoda; Conidae. The record is from RNAcentral.
AUGUCAAUAUUAAAAUAUGAAGUCGGACCUGCCCAGUGAGUUUUAAACGGCCGCGGUACUCUGACCGUGCAAAGGUAGCAUAAUCAUUUGCCUUAUAAUUGAAGGCUGGAAUGAAUGGUUUGACAAGAAUACAGCUGUCUCUUUUAGAUUGUUUAGAAUUUUAUUUUUGGAUGAAAAAGUCCAAAUAUUAUUAAAAGACAAGAAGACCCUAUCGAGCUUUAGAGGAAUUAAUGGGCUUAAAAUAAAUCAAUAUAAGUAAAAGAUAAACUAUUAAAUACUUUGGUUGGGGCAACCGAGGAGUAAAUAAAGCCUCCUUUAAAUUAUAUAAAACUUGCUUGUGUUGAUCCAAGAAUUUUGAUCAAAGGAAUUAGUUACCGUAGGGAUAACAGCAUUAUCUUUUUCAAGAGCCCAUAUCGAAAAAAAGGUUUGUGACCUCGAUGUUGGACCAGAAUAUCCUAAAGAUGCAGAAGUCUUUAAGGGUUGGUCUGUUCGACCAUUAAAAUUCUA